Molecule: unclassified non-coding RNA, 393 nt
Filed under: fungal sp.
Lineage: Eukaryota; Fungi
Description: partial internal transcribed spacer region
Rfam family: Eukaryotic small subunit ribosomal RNA (bases 1-46)
Source: RNAcentral
AAGUCGUAACAAGGUUUCCGUAGGUGAACCUGCGGAAGGAUCAUUAACAUUUUCCACUUGGUAUCUCUUUUUUGGAUGUAGUUGGUCUGCUUCUACCUGGAGACUGACAUCUCACCUGAGCUUUUUCGAAAGAAAAACGUUCAGGUUGGAAGGUGAUGGACAUCCAUUGGUGUUCGUCCCUUCAGACUCAUACAGGAGAUCGGAUGAUCUGUCUGGUCUUCUUUAUGCAUUUGCGUCUUUCCUAUUUCACCCCAAUCACAUUUUUAUAACUUAUGACUUACGGAGACACCUUCACAACGUGUCUCGUUGCUCUGAGCUUCUAACGGAGUCAGGCAAUGAAAACUCUUUUAAAAACUAAAAAUACAACUCUUAGCAACGGAUAUCUUGGUUCUC